CAAGUCGAGCGGACAGAAGGGAGCUUGCUCCUGGAUGUUAGCGGCGGACGGGUGAGUAACACGUGGGUAACCUGCCUGUAAGACUGGGAUAACUCCGGGAAACCGGAGCUAAUACCGGAUAGUUCCUUGAACCGCAUGGUUCAAGGAUGAAAGACGGUUUCGGCUGUCACUUACAGAUGGACCCGCGGCGCAUUAGCUAGUUGGUGGGGUAAUGGCUCACCAAGGCGACGAUGCGUAGCCGACCUGAGAGGGUGAUCGGCCACACUGGGACUGAGACACGGCCCAGACUCCUACGGGAGGCAGCAGUAGGGAAUCUUCCGCAAUGGACGAAAGUCUGACGGAGCAACGCCGCGUGAGUGAUGAAGGUUUUCGGAUCGUAAAGCUCUGUUGUUAGGGAAGAACAAGUGCGAGAGUAACUGCUCGCACCUUGACGGUACCUAACCAGAAAGCCACGGCUAACUACGUGCCAGCAGCCGCGGUAAUACGUAGGUGGCAAGCGUUGUCCGGAAUUAUUGGGCGUAAAGGGCUCGCAGGCGGUUUCUUAAGUCUGAUGUGAAAGCCCCCGGCUCAACCGGGGAGGGUCAUUGGAAACUGGGAAACUUGAGUGCAGAAGAGGAGAGUGGAAUUCCACGUGUAGCGGUGAAAUGCGUAGAGAUGUGGAGGAACACCAGUGGCG
RNAcentral lists this ribosomal RNA (676 nucleotides) under Bacillus pumilus. RNAcentral describes it as "bacterial SSU rRNA". It matches the Rfam family "Bacterial small subunit ribosomal RNA", at positions 58 to 717 of the family's 1533-position model. Lineage: Bacteria; Bacillati; Bacillota; Bacilli; Caryophanales; Bacillaceae. The record is from RNAcentral.